Molecule: transfer RNA, 91 nt
Filed under: Opitutales bacterium
Lineage: Bacteria; Pseudomonadati; Verrucomicrobiota; Opitutia; Opitutales
Description: tRNA-Ser
Rfam family: tRNA
About the family: Transfer RNA (tRNA) molecules are approximately 80 nucleotides in length. Their secondary structure includes four short double-helical elements and three loops (D, anti-codon, and T loops).
Source: RNAcentral
GGAGAGGUGGCAGAGUGGCCGAAUGCGCUGGUUUGCUAAACCGGUAUAGGGCUUUAAAACCCUAUCGUGAGUUCGAAUCUCAUCCUCUCCG